AUAUCUUUAUCGGCUUUUGGCUAAGAUCAAGUGCAGUAAAUGUUCUUAUCAGUUUAAUAUCUGAAAUAUGGAUUAUCGACCUAUCGUGAUAUCUGAUACAUGGGUUAAUCAUGGUAGCUUGCUCUUUUGCGUUCCACAACUAUACGGGCUUUAGUGUACGCCGGCUUAGGCUUGUCUCAC
This 180-nucleotide small nuclear RNA is filed under the name Musa acuminata subsp. malaccensis (wild Malaysian banana). Its description in RNAcentral is "U2 spliceosomal RNA". It matches the Rfam family "U2 spliceosomal RNA". Rfam says of the family: U2 is a small nuclear RNA (snRNA) component of the spliceosome (involved in pre-mRNA splicing). Complementary binding between U2 snRNA (in an area lying towards the 5' end but 3' to hairpin I) and the branchpoint sequence (BPS) of the intron results the bulging out of an unpaired adenosine, on the BPS, which initiates a nucleophilic attack at the intronic 5' splice site, thus starting the first of two transesterification reactions that mediate splicing. Lineage: Eukaryota; Viridiplantae; Streptophyta; Magnoliopsida; Zingiberales; Musaceae. The record is from Rfam by way of RNAcentral.